AGAGUAUGAUAUGACUUAGUGGCGGACGGGUGAGUAACGCGUGAGUAACCUGCCUUUCAGAGGGGGAUAACAGUUGGAAACGACUGCUAAUACCGCAUAACAUAUCGAGAUCGCAUGGUCUUGAUAUCAAAGCUGAGGCGCUGGAAGAUGGACUCGCGUCUGAUUAGAUAGUUGGUGAGGUAACGGCUCACCAAGUCGACGAUCAGUAGCCGGACUGAGAGGUUGAACGGCCACAUUGGGACUGAGACACGGCCCAGACUCCUACGGGAGGCAGCAGUGGGGAAUAUUGCACAAUGGGCGAAAGCCUGAUGCAGCAACGCCGCGUGAGGGAAGACGGUUUUCGGAUUGUAAACCUCUGUCUUUGGUGAAGAUAAUGACGGUAGCCAAGGAGGAAGCCACGGCUAACUACGUGCCAGCAGCCGCGGUAAUACGUAGGUGGCAAGCGUUGUCCGGAAUUACUGGGUGUAAAGGGAGCGCAGGCGGGACUGCAAGUUGGAUGUGAAAUGUCGCGGCUUAACCGCGGAGCUGCAUCCAAAACUGUAGUUCUUGAGUGGAGUAGAGGUAGGCGGAAUUCCGAGUGUAGCGGUGAAAUGCGUAGAUAUUCGGAGGAACACCAGUGGCGAAGGCGGCCUACUGGGCUCUUACUGACGCUGAGGCUCGAAAGUGUGGGGAGCAAACAGGAUUAGAUACCCUGGUAGUC
Molecule: ribosomal RNA, 700 nt
Filed under: uncultured bacterium
Lineage: Bacteria
Description: bacterial SSU rRNA
Rfam family: Bacterial small subunit ribosomal RNA
Source: RNAcentral